CUGGCUCAGGAUGAACGCUAGCUACAGGCUUAACACAUGCAAGUCGAGGGGCAGCAAAUCGAAAGCUUGCUUUGAUGUGGCGACCGGCGCACGGGUGAGUAACGCGUAUCCAACUUCCCCUUAGUAGGGCAUAGCCCGUAGAAAUGCGGAUUAAUACCCUAUGUUAUUCGUCGAGGACAUCUGAAGUGAAUCAAAGGUUUACCGCUAAGGGAUGGGGAUGCGUCUGAUUAGGCAGCAGGCGGGGUAACGGCCCACCUGGCCUACGAUCAGUAGGGGUUCUGAGAGGAAGGUCCCCCCACAUUGGAACUGAGACACGGUCCAAACUCCUACGGGAGGCAGCAGUGAGGAAUAUUGGUCAAUGGGCGAGAGCCUGAACCAGCCAAGUAGCGUGCAGGACGACGGCCCUAUGGGUUGUAAACUGCUUUUAUGCGGGGAUAAAGUGCGUCACGUGUGGCGUUUUGUAGGUACCGCAUGAAUAAGGACCGGCUAAUUCCGUGCCAGCCGCCGC
Molecule: ribosomal RNA, 508 nt
Filed under: uncultured bacterium
Lineage: Bacteria
Description: bacterial SSU rRNA
Rfam family: Bacterial small subunit ribosomal RNA
Source: RNAcentral